CCUUGCCUCGAUCCUCCGCCGCCCCGCUCGCGUUAGGAUCUGCAGGGUUAGUGGUGUGAGAACUAAACAAAGUUCCCAGUGGGUUCGGCAACCGACUUCGCCGACUUACCCACUAGGUCUAUUUAGGCAUUAGUAUUUUAAGAAAGAGAUAAGUAACCAUUACUAAUGCUAAUACUAUGCCUGCAAGAAAACUGUCAGUGGAUAUAUAAUCAAAGCGAUAUUAAAGAUACAUGCAUGCUUUAUCCAUAUUUUACUUUGGCUUUCUUUACCAAAUCUUACCGGUUAACCUUGUUAACCCCAAUAGCUCACAACUCCUAUCCCGUCUACCGGGAGAGGCUUUAAGCACAACCGCCCGAGGGAUCGUCGACGGGGCACUCUCCCCAUGGUGUCUACACUCCGAAGUACACCGCUUGAGGAGGAGCUACCUCUCUCAAGCAAAGUCCUAAUGUGAGUAUCGAUCCAAUUCUCAACUUGGGAAUACAUAGCCACUAGUCACAAUGUCAUUAUUGUUUAAACUAGGUUUAACAAUGUGUAUCUCAAUACCAAUCAAGUCACUGUAGUCAAUAUCACCUUUGUUUACUAUGGUUAUAAUCUUUUUCCUACAUUCACAUGCACAUAGGGUUUUCACAUACAAGUUCUCUUGUUUCUUUAUCAUUCACAUACUCUUUAAGCAGCUAUAUGCAAUUCAACCAAGCACAAUAAUAAGCUACCCUAUAUGCAAGAAUGCAACCAUUUAAAAUGCUCAAGAAAAGGGACAUAGACAUAGGAGGGAAUCCAACGAUUUCAGAAUGCACCCCCUACCUCGAAUGAUCGUAGAAGGGUUGAAGUUCGACUCUCGGGAUUUUUAGAACGCCUCUCCCGCAACCUAUACCCAAAAUAGUGCCAAAUUAGACCCUAUAUACAAGAUCUCAUAUCUAGACUUUUCAUUUCGACGAACGGAGUUGUCCCACGCGUCGGGAAUACCCCUAAUUAGGUUUCUAAGAGGGCAAUUUACCUCGAAAACGAUCGGAGGCAAAAACCCCAAAAUCCAUGCCCUGACAAUGUCAUAAUGAGAUUUCUCCUAGAUUGAUCUCAUUUCUAAUCAAAAGAUAGCUUAGAACCAACUAGGAAGCUUUCUAAUACCAUUAUUAAGCCUUUCCAAACAUCCCUAGGGCACCUACUUUGAACCCUAGCCAUCCACCAUUAGAGCACAUGAAGCUCACAUGGAUUUCAUGGUGUUCAUGGCCCAACAAUGCUUCUAAACAAGAGAGAAGCUCCAAACCUUAAGUUCUAUGGUGGAAAUCCAAACCCUAGAGUUCUAUUUGCAAGAGAACUCACCUUUGACCAAGCUCCUCCAAGAUCCUUCUUGUAGGAGAGCUUCUAGCACCUUCACAACCUCUAAAACCACCUUCUCCUAGCUUCUUCUCCUUCUCCUCCAAGCCCUAGGUCAAGCUCCUUUAGAGAGAGAAAGAGGAAAAUGAGAGGAAGAGUGUUUGGAGGUGUUUGCUAUGAAGGAGGAGGGUUUGGGGGUAUUUAUGACAUGUUACAAUUGCAACUAGGCCCUCCAAAAAUUCUUAUUUGCAACAGACCUCGUAGGUGCUGCCAGACCAAAGUGUACCGGUACACUUUGGGCUGUCACCUGUUACACGAUCGCGUAUGACAAAACCCGAGAGCAGAUUUCUCGGUUCGCAGGAUUUGUACCGGUACACUUUCAGCCAGACACAACACGAGAGCUCUUCUUCUCGGUCUGCGUAUCUGUACCGGUGACAACUCGAUGGUUGUACCGGUACACUUUGCCCAGACCUGGUUUUUGGCUUCGACUCGACUCCACUUCGCGUCGGCCGAUGCUAAAACCCUUCUAACUCUUUCUAAACUCACUUUUAGCCCUUCCAACAUUAUUGGAAUGUUAAAUGGAACUUGUUCCAUCGAUUUCUCUCGGUACUUUAACCUAAUUCGGGUAAAGUUCGAUAUUCACUUUCGGGUUUCAAUAUGUUAUAUUCUCCACCCCUUGAAUUUAGUUUCAUCCGCGAAACUACCUUUUUGAAAUUGAGAUUCAUACCUCAAUCCAGUUCCGCAAAGAGAUGAGGAUGACGCUCUCUCAUCACGUCCUCAAGCUCCUAUGUGUUUUCCUGAUCGUCGUGUUCACACCAAUGAACUUUAACAUACGGAAUUUCUCGAUUCUGUAGUUUCUUCACCUCUCGAUCAACGAUGAAAGCCGGAAACUUUUCAUAGGUCAUAUCCUCUUGAAGCUUGGUCGGCACAUACUCGAGAAUGUGCUCCGGAUCAUGAACAUACUUGCGGAGAUUGGAUACGUGGAACACGUCGUGCACUCCCGCAAGCCUCGGUGGUAAUGCCACUUUGUAAGCCACCGCACCGACCCGCUCCAAGAUCUCAAAUGGUCCGACAAAUCGGGGACUUAGCUUUUCCUGAACACCGAAUCUCUUAACACCGCGCAUCAGCGAUACCUUUAGAAAUACGCGGUCUUCAACCGCGAACUCGAUGUCUUUCCUUCGCUUGUUAGCAUAAUUUUUGUGCCUCGAUUGCGCCGUCGCUAAUCUUUGUCGGGCGAGGCGAACUUUCUCCUCCGCCUCCCGAACAACAUUGGGGCCAAGAGCAACUCUCUCAUCCACAUCGCUCCAAUGAAUCGGCGAGCGACAUUUCUUUCCAUAAAGGGCCUUGAAUGGCGCCAUCAUAAUACUUUCUUGAUAGCUAUUAUUGUAUGCGAAUUCCGCCAUCGGCAAAUGAUCGUGCCAUCCGCCCUUAUAGUCGAGUACACACGCUCGAAGCAUGUCCUCAAGUAUUUGAAUAGUCCUCUCCGAUUGACUGUCACUUUAAGGAUGAAAUGUCGUGCUAAAGUCGAGCCGUGUGCCUAAUGCGUCUUGCAAGCUCUUUCAAAAAUGAGAUGUGAACUGAGGGUCUCGAUCCAAUACAAUAGACAUCGGAACCCCGUGUAGUCUCACAAUCUCGUCGAGAUAAAUUUGAGCUAGCUUGUCUCCCGACCAAGUAGUGUGGAUCGGCAAAAAGUGUGCCGAUUUUGUCAACCGGUCCACCACUACCCAAAUCGCAUCAUGUCCGCCUUGAGAUCUAGGCAAACCCAUCACAAAGUCCAUUGCUAUGUUUUCCCAUUUCCACACGGGUAUCGGUAGACUUUGCAACUUUCCUGCCGGAAAUCGCCGUUCCACUUUGACUUGUUGGCACGUGAGACAUUGUGCCACGAACUCCCCGAUAUCCUUUUUCAUGCCCGGUCACCAAUUAUGUAACUUCAAGUCUUGAUACAUUUUAGUGUCGCCCGGGUGUACGCUAUAGGGAGAUUGAUGCGCUUCUUGCAUAACCGCCCUCCGAAGAUCAUCGUCCUUAGGCACUCACCAACGAUUCCGAAAUCGAAGUGCGCCAUCGGUCCCAAUGCCAAAAUCAUCGGCACUACCGCUCUCAACUUUACCCCGCACCUUUUGGAGAAAUGAAUCGAAAACUUGCAAUUCUGUAAUUCUCUCCAAUAUGGUUGGUUACACUAUCAACGUGGCUAGUGUUGCCGGCACUCCCGGUGCCACAACCUCAAGGCCAAACCGCUGCAUCCUUUUUUGCAAAGCCGGUUGAGGUGUAAUUGCCGUCGCCAAAUUUUUCGCCGACUUUCUACUUAGAGCAUCAGCCACGACAUUCGCCUUUUCGGGGUGGUAGAGAAUCAUGACGUCAUAGUCCUUUAACAGCUCCAACUACUGCCGCUGUCGCAAAUUUAAUUCCUUCUGGGUGAACAAGUAUUUGAGACUCUUAUGAUCGGUGUAGAUCUCACAAUGCUCACCAUACAAGUAAUGCCUCUAUAAUUUUAGCGCGAAGAUAACCGCCGCUAGCUUGAGGUCGUGAGUCUGGUAGUUCUUCUUAUAGCUCUUCAGCUGGCGCGAAGCAUAUGCUAUAACUCGGCCAUUUUGCAUCAAAACACACCCGAGACCGAUAUACGAGGCAUCACUAUACACUACAUAGCUCUCCCCCGGCGUCGGUAAGGCAAGCACCGGGGUCGAUGUCAAUCUUUCCUUUAACUCCUCGAAGCUCCUCUCACAUUCGGCGCUCCAAAUAUACUUUGCCCCUUUGUGUGUAAGGCGCGUUAGUGGAGUAGUUAUCUUGGCAAACCCUUCCAUGAACCGCCGAUAGUAGCCCGCAAGUUCGAGAAAGCUACGGAUCUCCGCUACACUUGUCGGGCGAGGCCAAUCUUUAAUAGCCUCCACUUUCUUUGGGUCCACCGAGAUGCCAUCACUGGAUAUAACGUGACCCAAGAAGAUAAUCUCCGAAAGCCAAAAUUUGCACUUUUUUAAUUUUGCAUAUAGCUUCUAUUUUCGGAGUGUCUCCAACACGAUCCUCAAGUGCUCCUCGUGUUCUUUCUCGGUCCGAGAAUAUACCAAUACGUCGUCAAUGAAGAUCAUGACGCACCGGUCCAAUAGCGGACGAAAGACUCGAUUCAUUAAGUCCAUAAAAGGUGUCGAGGCAUUAGUAAGCUCGAAUGGCAUAACCGUGAACUCAUAAUAGCCAUACCGCGUAUGGUACGCCGUUUUGUGCACAUUCUUGGGCCGUAUCUUCAAUUGAUGAUAACCCGAUUGAAGGUCGAUCUUUGAAUAUACCCUUGACCCUGCAACUGAUCGAAUAAGUCAUCAAUCCUCGACAACGGGUACUUGUUCUUGAUCGUCACCUUGUUCAACUCGCAAUAAUCAACGCAAAGUCGAAGUGUGCCGUCUUUUUUCUUCACAAAUAGCACCGGAGCUCCCCACGGAGGCACGCUCGAUCGUACAAAACUCUACCUGUGCCAUUCUAUACGGAGCCUUCGAAAUUGGCACCGCCCUGGGAAUUAAGUCAAUGACAAACUCGACUUUCCGGUCCGGUGGCAAUCCCGGUAAUUCCGCCGGAAACACAUCCGGAUACUUGCAUACAACCCGAAUAUUCCCCAAAUUCGGGUACUCCUUUUGAGAGUCUACGAUGGUCGCCAAAUAGGCCUUACAACUACCCUUUAUCAUUUUCCUCGCCCUCGCCGUCGAUAUGGUCGCCGCAAAGCGCACACCUUUACACACCCGGUAUACUAACUCUUCUUGAUUAGGCUCAUGGAAUGUGAUCAUCUUACUUUCGCAAUCAAUGACCGCGUAAUACUUGGAGAGCCAAUUGAUCCCCAAGAUUCCAUCAAAGCCCUACAUUUGCUUCAACACUAAUAGGUCGAUCGGCAUGAUCCAAUCACCUAUCUAUAUUGGACACUCUCGACACUCGUCAUAUACACGGAACGAAUGCCCUGGUGUAUUCACUGUCCAAUAGUCCUCGACAUUUGUGACCUCUAUGUCAUGAGCUAGUACAAAUGAUGCUGAUAUGCAUGAAUGCGAUGCACCUGUGUAAAAUAACACUCUAGUUCUAAUGCCUCGGAUCAAGAUAAUACCUGCCACGACAUCGUCGGGAACUGCAACCGGCUGCUCCUCCACCUGAGUGGCAAAAACCCGCCCACUAGGUGCCCGAGAGGCCUCCGGCUGUCGAGGCGCUGAUAAUCGUCCAGCCGACACUGCGGAUGGCAGUCUUGCCAGCUAUCGCGGAGUGUACUGGACUAAAGUUGCUGAAGGCACUGGGGAUGCGCCGCCCGGACACUCCCAACUCAUGUGUCCUGCUUGGCCGCAGUGAUAACACUUCCCUUCGCGCUGGGAGCACUCACUCGGCCUAUGACUCCCGUCGCAAAUGAUACACGGGAAGGUGGUCGUCUGGCUCCUCGACUGACUCCUACCUCUCCGCCACUGUGAUCGCUAAGGUCGCGGGGGUCGCUUGAAGCCCGACUGCCCUGCAGAUCCGCUAGUUGCCCGCUUUUUGGACUUAUCUUUUUCCUCGUCCUUCUCGAAAGCCUCGCGCUCAUCUUGCGCAAUGGCAUUGCCACGCUCCACCCAAAGCGCGCGAUCAAGCACUUCCUCGUAGGUCUUCAACCUAAAGGCAUGAAUGACCUUGAAGAUUCGGGUCGCAACCCGCGCUCGAAUGCCUCCGCUCGGUCCCUAUCGCCAUGGAACAAGCCCGACACGCAGUUGAUCAUGUGCGUGAACUCUUUCUCGUACUCCCGCACCGAUCGGCUACCUUGUCUCAACUUGCGAAAGUCUUCUUUGAUCUUCCGCUUGUCGCUUUCGGGAAAGUACUCCAGCAAGAGCAUCUCCCAAAAUAUCUCCCAAGUGAUGGAAGCGAGAUCCAACGAGCGACCUUUCCUUGCUUGGUUCCACCACAACCUCACCGACCCCUCGAAGCAAUGGGCCGCAAGGUGAACUUUAUCCUUCUCAAGGGUGUAGAUGUCCUUGAACAAUGCCUCCAUCACGGCUAACCAUGACUCCACCGACCAUAGAUCCUUCACGUCACCGUUGAAGGUUGGAGGGUUGAACCGCUUGAAUGUCGUCAACACUGCUAGUGACCGCUCCUGCUUGGCCUCAAGUACAUCGGGUAGAGGAGCCGAUGAACCCGAUGCCAUCUGAGGAAUAGCCGUCACCGCUACUACUGCUGUCGCUGGAGGUGGUGCAACUAGGGCAACAGGUACAGGCGGAUCCCUCGGCACAGAUGCCGCAACCUGUCGCGACACCAACUCGUGAGUUGUCCUAUCUGCCCCCCCUGCUGCCGCAUAGCCCCAGCCAAAGCCGCCACUUGGGCUCGCAGCGCACGAACCUCAUCUGAUCGAGACUGCUCGGGCUGCGCAAGAGGUGGUGCCGGUGUGGAUCGCGUCCUAGGGCGUCCCCUUUGUGCCAUCACGUCCUGAAAUGUAGCACACAUAUUAGUACUCGAUACACGUGACUCUUACACGUUCCAAAUAGCUAUCCAAUUAAGCGAAAGCAAUCGAGCAUAAUUAUUUUCCAACUCUCAGUGUCACGUGGUCGGCCGGCCCACACAAUCCCCUUAAGUAGAAAACAAAUUAAUACUUGAAUUCAUCUCUAAUUCCUUCUAGAGAAGUACUAUCUUUAACCCAAUCAACUAGCUUUCGCGUAUCCAAGUCUACGUUAAACGUUUCCUAAGUCCCUAAGGUCUCCAAGCCUAAGGUCCCUAAGUCCUUCCUAGACUUUUACUUUCACCAUUGCUCUGAUACAAUUAUAUCUGUCACGCCCCGAUCCCUGCCAAUUUGGUUGGGUUCGGCCAUGUCAACAGACGCCGAACGGACAGAACCUCCCCUGUCCGCCCAAGGCUCUAGCAACAAGUAUAAUAAAGCAAUCAACAAAAAGAUUUGCAAUUAUACAAGGCUUGCACGAGGGCAAGCAACAACGGAAGCGAAAGCUCUAAGCUAUAGCAUACAACCAUACAUGAUAUUUGAUUAAAUUUAAACAAAAUACAAGUGAACUAAGCUAUUACAUCCAUUUUGGUUUUAUUCAUAAAGUCUUUUACAUCUUAAUCAUUUACCAAAAUACAUGAUUGUUCUCAACUCAUACAUCUAUAGAUCAACAAAAUAAAAGUUGAUACAUGUAUACAAAACGGGAAUGACUAAAAUGUAAAUGCUCCGGUGGCCUCUAGCUAAGGCGCAAUACCCUUGCCUCGAUCCUCCGCCGCCCCGCUCGCGUUAGGAUCUGCAGGGUUAGUGGUGUGAGAACUAAACAAAGUUCCCAGUGGGUUCGGCAACCGACUUCGCCGACUUACCCACUAGGUCUAUGUAGGCAUUAGUAUUUCAAGAAAGAGAUAAGCAACCAUUAAUAAUGCUAAUACUAUGCCUGCAAGAAAACUGUCAGUGGAUAUAUAAUCAAAGCGAUAUUAAAGAUACAUGCAUGCUUUAUCCAUACUUUACUUUGGCUUUCUUUACCCAAUCUUACCGGUUAACCUUGUUAACCCCAAUAGCUCACAACUCCUAUCCCGUCUACCGGGGGAGGCUUUAAGCACAAUCGCCCGAGGGAUCGUCGACGGGGCACUCUCCCCGUGGUGUCUACACUCUGGAGUACACCACUUAAGGAGAAGCUACUUCUCUCAAGCCAAGUCCUAAUGUGAGUAUUGAUCCAAUUCCCAACUUGGGAAUACAUAGCCUG
RNAcentral lists this long non-coding RNA (7967 nucleotides) under Ananas comosus (pineapple). Its description in RNAcentral is "long non-coding RNA (ACOM_LNC023610)". Lineage: Eukaryota; Viridiplantae; Streptophyta; Magnoliopsida; Poales; Bromeliaceae. The record is from RNAcentral.